Non-coding RNA from Hemiscyllium ocellatum (epaulette shark), 73 nucleotides. The record is from the annotation of a RefSeq genome assembly. NCBI's taxonomy places the organism in Eukaryota, Metazoa, Chordata, Chondrichthyes, Orectolobiformes, Hemiscylliidae.
GUUUCUGUAGUGUAGCGGUCAUCACAUUCGCCUCACACGUGAAAGGUCCCCAGUUGGAACCUGGGCAGAAACU